UUUAAUUGUUUCUAGGGUUCCGAUUUGGUUGAGGUAAUAAUUACUUACCGUUAAGCCAAAUGCUGGUCCAAGAGAAGCAGGUCAACUACCUUUACUAGUGAUGUUAGGUUUAGCUGGCUACACGGAGGGAUAAAAGCCCGGGAGGA
RNAcentral lists this small RNA (146 nucleotides) under Pseudanabaena biceps. Its description in RNAcentral is "Guanidine-I sequence". It matches the Rfam family "Guanidine-I riboswitch aptamer". Rfam says of the family: This family represents a conserved RNA structure found upstream of the ykkC and yxkD genes in Bacillus subtilis and related genes in other bacteria. The function of this family is unclear although it has been suggested that it may function to switch on efflux pumps and detoxification systems in response to harmful environmental molecules. Lineage: Bacteria; Bacillati; Cyanobacteriota; Cyanophyceae; Pseudanabaenales; Pseudanabaenaceae. The record is from RNAcentral.